GGCGUCCGGGUGAGUAACACGUGGGUAAUCUGCCUUCGGGUGGGGAAUAACCCAGGGAAACUUGGGCUAAUACCGCAUAAUGCAGCGGCACCUAAUGGUGAUUAGUUGUUAAAGCGGGGGAUCGCAAGACCUCGCGCCUGAAGAGGAGCCUGCGGCAGAUUAGCUAGUUGGUGAGGUAAUGGCUCACCAAGGCAUCGAUCUGUAGCUGGUCUGAGAGGACGGCCAGCCACACUGGCACUGACACACGGGCCAGACUCCUACGGGAGGCAGCAGUGGGGAAUUUUGGGCAAUGGGCGCAAGCCUGACCCAGCAACGCCGCGUGAGGGAGGAAAUCCUUCGGGAUGUAAACCUCACAAGCAAGGGAAGAGCGCUUUCGGUCAAUAAUCGAAAGUUCGACGGUACCUUGCGUAAGCCCACGGUAACUACGUGCCA
RNAcentral lists this ribosomal RNA (432 nucleotides) under uncultured bacterium. RNAcentral's name for it is "bacterial SSU rRNA". It matches the Rfam family "Bacterial small subunit ribosomal RNA", at positions 97 to 510 of the family's 1533-position model. The record is from RNAcentral.